RNAcentral lists this ribosomal RNA (119 nucleotides) under Xenopus laevis (African clawed frog). The record is from RNAcentral. Lineage: Eukaryota; Metazoa; Chordata; Amphibia; Anura; Pipidae.
GCCUACGGCCACACCACCCUGAAAGUGCCUGAUCCCAUCUGAUCUCAGAAGUGAUACAGGGUUGGGCUUGGUUAGUACCUGGAUGGGAGACCACCUGGGAAUACCAGGUGUCAUAAGCU